Molecule: ribosomal RNA, 550 nt
Filed under: Clostridium bowmanii
Lineage: Bacteria; Bacillati; Bacillota; Clostridia; Eubacteriales; Clostridiaceae
Description: bacterial SSU rRNA
Rfam family: Bacterial small subunit ribosomal RNA
Source: RNAcentral
AGUCAGAGUGAAUACCGAGCUAAGUGGUGAUCAUAGAAACUGGUGUCUUGAGUCGGAGAGGUAAAUGAAUUCUUAGGUAGCGUGAAAUGGUAGAGAUAGAAAACCACCAGUGGGAGGGCGACUUAUUGACUGUGACUGUCGCUGAGGCAUGAAAGCGUGGGAGCAAACAGGAUUAGAUACCCUGUUAGUGCACGCAGUGAACGAUGAUUACUAGUGUCGCGGGUAGAACCUCGGUGCCGCAGUUAACACAAUAAGUAUUCCGCGUGGGGAGUACGAUCGCAAGAUUAAAAUCAAAGGAAUUGACGGGGGCCCGCACAAGCAGCGGAGCAUGUGGUUUAAUUCGAAGCAACGCGAAGAACCUUACAUAGACUUGACAUCCCUUGCAUAUCCCAGAGAUAGGUGAAGUCCUUCGAGACAAGGUGACAGGUGGUGCAUGGUGGUCGUCAGCUCGUGUCGUGAGAUGUGGGGUUAAGUCCCGCAACGAGCGCAACCCUUAUCAUUAGUUGCUACCAUUAAGUUGAGCACUUUAGUGAGAGCUGCCCGGGGUAAC